AGCCUGAACGCUGGCGGCGUGGCUAAGACAUGCAAGUCGUACGGGUGUAGCAAUACACCAGUGGCGGACGGGUGAGUAAUGUAUCGCUAACGUACCCCGGAUUCUGGGAUAGCUGCCCGAAAGGGCAGGUAAUACCGGAUGAUAUAUCCUUUUCGCAUGAUGAGGAUCUCAAAGGGAAACCGUUCUGGGAGCGGGCGAUAUCGUAUCAGCUAGUUGGUGAGGUAACGGCUCACCAAGGCGACGACGCGUAGCCGGACUGAGAGGUUGGCCGGCCACAUUGGGACUGAGACACUGCCCAGACUCCUACGGGGGGCUGCAGUAACGAAUCUUCCGCAAUGCACGCAAGUGUGACGGAGCGACGCCGCGUGUGGGACGAAGUCCUUCGGGAUGUAAACCACUGUCAGGGGUUAGAAAGUUCUGAUCAACCCCAGAGGAAGGCACGGCUAACUCUGUGCCAGCAGCCGCGGUAA
RNAcentral lists this ribosomal RNA (470 nucleotides) under uncultured bacterium. Its description in RNAcentral is "SSU rRNA". It matches the Rfam family "Bacterial small subunit ribosomal RNA", at positions 26 to 523 of the family's 1533-position model. The record is from RNAcentral.